RNAcentral lists this ribosomal RNA (251 nucleotides) under uncultured bacterium. RNAcentral's name for it is "partial 16S ribosomal RNA". It matches the Rfam family "Bacterial small subunit ribosomal RNA", at positions 524 to 774 of the family's 1533-position model. The record is from RNAcentral.
UACGUAGGGGGCAAGCGUUAUCCGGAUUUACUGGGUGUAAAGGGAGCGUAGACGGUUAGGCAAGCCAGAUGUGAAGGCCCGGGGCUCAACCCCGGGACUGCAUUUGGAACUGCGUAGCUUGAGUGUCGGAGAGGCAGACGGAAUUCCUAGUGUAGCGGUGAAAUGCGUAGAUAUUAGGAGGAACACCAGUGGCGAAGGCGGCCUGCUGGACGAUGACUGACGUUGAGGCUCGAAAGCGUGGGGAGCAAACA